Molecule: ribosomal RNA, 434 nt
Filed under: uncultured bacterium
Lineage: Bacteria
Description: partial 16S ribosomal RNA
Rfam family: Bacterial small subunit ribosomal RNA
Source: RNAcentral
AUGAACGCUGGCGGUAUGCUUAACACAUGCACGUCGCACGGACUCUUCGGAGUUAGUGGCGGACGGGUGAGUAACGCGUGAGAAUCUGGCUUUGGGUUCGGGACAACCACUGGAAACGGUGGCUAAUACCGGAUGUGCCGAGAGGUAAAAGAGAAAUUGCCUGAAGAUGAGCUCGCGUCUGAUUAGCUAGUUGGUGAGGUAAAGGCUCACCAAGGCAGCGAUCAGUAGCUGGUCUGAGAGGAUGACCAGCCACACUGGGACUGAGACACGGCCCAGACUCCUACGGGAGGCAGCAGUGGGGAAUUUUCCGCAAUGGGCGAAAGCCUGACGGAGCAAUACCGCGUGAGGGAAGAAGGCUCUUGGGUUGUAAACCUCUUUUCUUAGGGAAGAACAAAAUGACGGUACCUAAGGAAUCAGCAUCGGCUAACUCCGUG